This 384-nucleotide ribosomal RNA is filed under the name uncultured bacterium. RNAcentral's name for it is "bacterial SSU rRNA". It matches the Rfam family "Bacterial small subunit ribosomal RNA", at positions 30 to 418 of the family's 1533-position model. The record is from RNAcentral.
AUUGAACGCUGGCGGAAUGCUUUACACAUGCAAGUCGAACGGUAGAGGGGGCAACCCCUUGAGAGUGGCGAACGGGUGAGUAAUAUAUCGGAACGUGCCCAGUCGUGGGGAUAACGUAGCGAAAGCUACGCUAAUACCGCAUACGAUCUAUGGAUGAAAGCGGGGGAUCGCAAGACCUCGCGCGAUUGGAGCGGCCGAUAUCAGAUUAGGUAGUUGGUGAGGUAAAGGCUCACCAAGCCGACGAUCUGUAGCUGGUCUGAGAGGACGACCAGCCACACUGGGACUGAGACACGGCCCAGACUCCUACGGGAGGCAGCAGUGGGGAAUUUUGGGACAAUGGGCGCAAGCCUGAUCCAGCAAUGCCGCGUGCAGGAUGAAGGCCUU